This 29-nucleotide small RNA is filed under the name Bombyx mori (domestic silkworm). RNAcentral's name for it is "ovarian small RNA-17655". Lineage: Eukaryota; Metazoa; Arthropoda; Insecta; Lepidoptera; Bombycidae. The record is from RNAcentral.
GUAGCUGAAAUGAAAUUGCGAUUACAAAC